RNAcentral lists this long non-coding RNA (2766 nucleotides) under Nicotiana tabacum (common tobacco). Its description in RNAcentral is "long non-coding RNA (NTAB_LNC003951)". The record is from RNAcentral. Lineage: Eukaryota; Viridiplantae; Streptophyta; Magnoliopsida; Solanales; Solanaceae.
GGUAAGACAUUUUGAUACUGUCGUUUUGAGUUUUAUGCUCUUUGUAUCAUUUUCUUGAGCCGAGGGUCUAUAGGAAGCAGCCUCUCUACCUUCCCAAGGAAGGGGUAAGGUCUGCGUACAGCCAUACACACUACUCUCCCCAGACCCCACUUGUGGAAUUUCACUAGGUUGUUGUUGUCGUAUGCUCUUUGUGACCAGGAGGUCACUAGUUCGAGCUGUGGAUAUAGCCUCUUGCAGAAUUGCAGGGUAAGGCUGCGUACAAUAGACCCUUGUGGUCCAGCCUUCCCCGUAUUCCACGCAUAGCGGGAGCUUAGUGCAUCGGGCUGCGCUUUAUUGUUGUCGUAUGCGCUUUGUAUCAUUUUGAGUUUGUUGUCGAUAUUUGUUCUUAUUUAAUCAGUUCUUCGGGAUGUUGCAGUGGUCAAGGAUUGAAUCUUCCAGAUAGCCCGUUUGCAUCUCCAAUAAGGAAUGGCAUUUCAACUGUCAUUUAGGUUCAGAAACACAGAAGGAUUAUAGAGUUUAAAGAGGACUGAGUUUUGGAAAGCAGUUCGUUGGUUCGACACAUAAAAGUACUUUUCUUCCUAAAUAUUUCCAUAAAACAGUUACUAUUAAAUAGUUGCUCAACUGCCUGCAAAUACACCUGAUCCUACAGAAAGCGCGAGAAGUUAUUCGUUUUCAUUUUUUAGGUGAACAUCAUAAGAGAAUUACAUAGAAAAAGAAUCGCGACAUGUAACAAGUUUCAUAGGUUUUCAGCUUUGAUAAGAAGUUAAUGAUAGGGAGCAAGUUUGAUGCUUGCUUUGCAGGUUUUAGAAGUUAAAAUGUAAUUAUGGUUUUUUUUCUAAGUGUGAUGGAGAAGAAAAUAGGCUCAGAUUCAGAGUUUGGUGUCCAUUGUAGAGCUCUCUGCUACUUGACAGAAAUGCUAAAUGUUGCUAACAAUAAAGUUAUACAUAGUUUUCAUUUCUAGUCUCUGUUUACUUUCUGAACACAAAUUUGUCAUUUAUAUUUUGGCGUAACCGGUAAAGUUGACUCCAUGUGACCAGAAGGUCAUGAGUUUGAGCCGUGGAAAUAACCUCUUGUAGAAAUGUAGGGUAAGACUGCGUACAAUAGACCCCUGUAGUCAAGCCCUUCCCCAGACCCCGCACAUAGCGGGAGCUUAGUACAUCGGUGAUAUCCGAAUCAGCUUGCAUGCAUAGGUGGUAUUCGAAUCAGCUUGCGUGCACCUCGGGUAAUCCUCUUUGUUUGCUAAAAAUGUAAAUAUAAAGUAGUUGAAUAUGGAUCAUAUAUGUGGUCCUCUACUGCUUGUUCUCUUAGUUGUACAAAAGGGUCCCCAAUAGUAAAGAAAAUGUAUAUUAGACCCUUGAUAUGCGGAACUGAUGCAAGUUGUAUUUUUUUAAAAUUAUAUUUAAUGCCAAAACUAAGUAAAUUGACCAUCUUAGAAAGUUAUUAUUUUGUCGCUUUCAUCCACGUUGAUCUACUUUAUUAUUUAUUGCUUUCACCAUUAUACAACUGAAAAAUAUUGUUUUUUUUUUUUUUGCAAUUUGUGAGAUUGACUUUGAUAAAGUAGUGGUGCUGAAGUGCGACAAUUAUUUAGAUUUGUGGACAUUAUGUGAAUUUUAAUUUUAGAUUUGUAGGACCGACGUAUCUACUAUCUGUUUUUUAAUCUUUUAUACGACACAGAUGUUACAUGUCUAUGGCCAUAAAUGUUUUUGUUCAUACAUUUCUUAGCCACAAACACACUUCAUACUUCAAAAGUAGUUUGAUUCUCUUCGCAUCCACUAGUUUUAUUGAUUUAUAUUUUUUUAAAAUCAAAACUAAGCUCCAUUUGGUAGUUUGUGAGAUAUUUCUUCACUAAAAUAGAAUAGUUUGGAAAUUCAUAGAAUUAUCUAUAAAAUAAUGUAGCAGGAAAUUAAUUUAGGACAAAAGAUAAUAAACAACUUUUGCCAAUUUGGGAUUAAAAAUUAGGAUCUUUUCAUACAUAUGCUAAAUUAUAAAGUUAUUUACCUGAAAUGUGUAAAGUUUGCUAUUUAUCAAAGUAGACUGACUAUAUAUAUAAAUAUAUUUUUUUCACUCUGUUCAUCUGUUCUUUCCAACCUUUUAAAGAUAUAAAUUUUUUCUUAACACAACUUUUUUUUAAACCUCACCAUGGCCGUAGUUAAAUAUAUUUGCCCACUUUAACACCUUUCUGAUAAUAUUUUGGGCUUAUUUUAACUGGUCUCUCCUAGAAAUUUAUAGGUUAAUCCAUCAGAGUUAUUAAGAAGUUGGAAAGAUAACCAUAUACUUAGAGUGAUUUUUUUAGUUAUUUACAAACUAGCAACUAAGAAAUUAAAGAUAUAAGACAUAAUAUAAAAGCUUUAAAUAAAUCGGGGUAAUAAACAGAAAUAUAAUUUAUAAAAACAGUAACUUACAUGUUUACAGGAGAGGGAUUUCCCUUUCGGUAAACUCGAAAGAGUUUACUGGACUUAAAAACUUGCACACUAAAGCAUAAAUCUUUAUUUAUUUUACAUGUUUGAGAUAGAAAAUACUAAAGCAUAUAUAGUGAAAUAUUUUAAAAAGAGAGGUGUGGAGGAUGGUUUUUCUGGUGUAGGUGAAGGGAAUGGUGAAGAGAGUAUGUUUUUCUUCAGAUGGUUGUUGUAGUUGUGUUUUCUGUCUUCAUAGAACACUCAAUUUAUAGGUGUUGAGGACUUCACUUCCGGACUUCAUUUUGUUUGAAGAAUCUUUCCUUUUUCUUGUUCACGUGAAAUUUUCAGAGUCUGUCUUGCAUUAUUGUCC